Molecule: ribosomal RNA, 485 nt
Filed under: uncultured bacterium
Lineage: Bacteria
Description: bacterial SSU rRNA
Rfam family: Bacterial small subunit ribosomal RNA
Source: RNAcentral
CCUAACACAUGCAAGUCGUAACGAGAAAGUCGGCUUCGGCUGAUGAGUAAAGUGGCGCACGGGUGAGUAACGCGUGGAUAAUCUGCCCUUUAGUGUGGAAUAACGUACCGAAAGGUGCGCUAAUACCGCAUAAUACUGAGUGACUACUGUUGCUCAGUCAAAGAAGGCCUCUGUUUACAAGCUUUUGCUGAAGGAUGAGUCCGCGUACCAUUAGCUAGUUGGUCGGGUAAUGGCCUACCAAGGCGACGAUGGUUAGCUGGUCUGAGAGGAUGAUCAGCCACACUGGAACUGAGACACGGUCCAGACUCCUACGGGAGGCAGCAGUGAGGAAUAUUGCGCAAUGGGGGCAACCCUGACGCAGCAACGCCGCGUGAGUGAGGAAGGUUUUCGGACCGUAAAGCUCUGUCGAGCGGGAAGAAAUGCAUGGUGGCUAAUAUCCAUCAUGCUUGACGGUACCGCUAAAGGAAGCACCGGCUAACUCCGUG